GACGAACGCUGGCGGCGUGCUUAACACAUGCAAGUCGAACGAUGAAGAAGAGAAACGCGAACUUCGGUUCAAAUUUCACUUCGGAUUAGUGGCAGACGGGUGAGUAACGCGUGAGCAACCUACCUCUUACAAAGGGAUAGCCUCGGGAAACCGUGAUUAAUACCAUAUGACACCUUCAUAAGGCAUCUUAAGAAUGUUAAAGCUACGGCGGUAAGAGAUGGGCUCGCGUCCCAUUAGCUAGUUGGUGAGGUAACGGCCCACCAAGGCGACGAUGGGUAACCGGCCUGAGAGGGUGAACGGUCACAUUGGAACUGAGACACGGUCCAAACUCCUACGGGAGGCAGCAGUGGGGAAUAUUGCACAAUGGAGGGAACUCUGAUGCAGCGACGCCGCGUGAGCGAUGAAGGAAUUCGUGUCGUAAAGCUCUGUUCUAUGGGAAGAAAAGGACUGUACCAUAGGAGAAAGCCCCGGCUAAAUACGUG
This 482-nucleotide ribosomal RNA is filed under the name uncultured bacterium. RNAcentral's name for it is "partial 16S ribosomal RNA". It matches the Rfam family "Bacterial small subunit ribosomal RNA", at positions 28 to 507 of the family's 1533-position model. The record is from RNAcentral.